CGAAGAUAUUCAUCAUUUAAGGAGGCUCUUACCCGGCUGCUCUAAUCAAUGUAGCAACCGAAAAAUUAUCAUUAAUAAUUGGUUAUAAAAUUAUCGGAAAAUUAAAUAAAAAAAUAAAUGAUGAUUUUUACAUAGUGUAAGAGUAAGUUAUAUGUUCUAUUAGUGUAAAUAUUAAAAUUUAUACAAUAAGUCAGUUGACUACGUCAGUGCUAAAGAGCAGAAUAAUAACAUGCGCGUGUUACAACGUCGUCUGUAGCAGUCUGCAGCUAAAGUGAGGUGUAGCCGUGUAGCAUUGUAGCGAUUGAUGCGAUAAAGAGAUGGAGCCAAAAGAAAGAUAUAACGUGAGAAUGUUGAGAGGGAAAAUGAAAGGAAAAUUCUCGAAAAUAAAGGUUGCAAUAUGUCAAUGCGCGAGAGAAUAAUUAUGCCGCUACCAUACAGCGCAGAGAAAAGACAUGUGCAAGUGAGGUUAGAAACUUCGCGCGAUUUUGACACUCGGAAGAUCAUUCGCCUAACCUGUCAAAAAAAAAAAUAUGACGGAUUGCAGUGCGGAUUAUUGUACGAACUCAUCAAGCAAAGGCUUCCAAAUGUGUAGAUUUCCCACAAGAAGAGAAAAGAAGAAAACUGUGGAUCGCUAAUGUUAACCGUGCAGACUGGGUUCCUGGAGUGAGUUCGACAUUGUGUUCAAUUCAUUUCUCAGAUGAGAUGUGGGAAAAAACACGGGGAGGUAAACGCCGCUUGAAAUCUACAGCAGUUCCAACUAUUUUUGGUGAUCGUCUGAUACCAGUAAAUACAUCUGAAGAAGAUGAUAAAUCAAGGAAUAUUCCUGCUCAUGAAAAUUUUAAUGAAACAUCCGCAAGAGGCACAGGAAGAAAUACCCGUAAAUAAUGGUAAAAACGUGGAUUAUUCCCGCGGAAUUUGAUCACGCCGAGGCGGAGUCGAGGCACUUGAUUUACGAAGCGGACACCGAUGCGGAUCACAAGCUGACGAAGAACGAGAUUUUGGAGAAAUACGACAUCUUUGUCGGAUCUCAGGCGACGGACUUCGGAGAGGCAUUAGCGAGGCACGAUGAGUUUUAACGAGGUGCAAUCUCAUAAGAAAAAGAAAUUACUAACGAACAAAUUACUUAUAAUACUUAAAGCUAUUUAAGAUCUAGUUUAUCUACGAAAAAGAAUAUUUAUCUACUUGCGCGCCUUAAUAAAUAGAUGUGUUAUAUAUCAGUGGGUAUUCACAUAAUUGAUACAGUAGAUAGAAGGAAUGCAUGAAAUGCUAUAACUGCCAAAAAUUGUGACUGAAGGAUAUAAUAUCGAAGUGUGUGCCUGUAAAUCUAAAAACAACUCUAUGCCCUGCAACUCAACAGUAAGAAAUACACAUUCACUGUUAAUUAUUCCUGUAGCUACAGUCGUUUCGCUGUUUAUGUAUAAAAUUUUUGAAAUUCCCUGACACUUUCGGCUUAUUCUAUUUCUUCGAUAUGAAUAAUUGUACAAAUUAUGUAUAUUUGAUAUUUAUUACAAUUUAUGUGUGCAACUAUUAAUCAAGCGUAUAUCUUUUUACAAUUUUGUAGAACGCGCAAUAUGUAUUUAAAUUACAUACAGAGACCAUUGCAGUAAAUCAUGUAAUAUAUAAUGCAAUUAAAUAAAUAAAUACUCAUGUAUAUGAAAAUAUGAGGAGAGAAAAAGAUAAUAUAAACUCUGAAAUAACAAUAACAUAUA
This is a long non-coding RNA of Temnothorax curvispinosus, 1709 nucleotides long. RefSeq lists it as uncharacterized. The transcript is spliced from 4 exons. The record is from RefSeq and is a predicted model, not a curated record. Lineage: Eukaryota; Metazoa; Arthropoda; Insecta; Hymenoptera; Formicidae.